Molecule: ribosomal RNA, 319 nt
Filed under: Conocephalus sp. MCJ-2002
Lineage: Eukaryota; Metazoa; Arthropoda; Insecta; Orthoptera; Tettigoniidae
Description: partial 28S ribosomal RNA
Rfam family: Eukaryotic large subunit ribosomal RNA
Source: RNAcentral
AACCCCGNGNUCUAAACUCYGACAWGGGAGUGARWCAUGGGGYGARUMAUWGMCCWAUAGGCGCAAUGAAAGUGAAGGUCAGCCUCGUGCCGACCGAGGGAAGAUGGGGCUCGCCUUCGGGUGGCCUCCGCAUUCCCGGGGCGUCUCGUUCUCAUUGCGAGUUGAGGCGCACCCAGAGCGUACACGUUGGGACCCGAAAGAUGGUGAACUAUGCCUGGCCAGGACGAAGUCAGGGGAAACCCUGAUGGAGGUCCGUAGCGAUUCUGACGUGCAAAUCGAUCGUCGGAGCCGGGUAUAGGGGCGAAAGACUAAUCGAACC